This 228-nucleotide ribosomal RNA is filed under the name uncultured bacterium. Its description in RNAcentral is "partial 16S ribosomal RNA". It matches the Rfam family "Bacterial small subunit ribosomal RNA", at positions 104 to 334 of the family's 1533-position model. The record is from RNAcentral.
CGGGGUGAGUAAUGUCUGGGAAACUGCUGAUGAGGGGGAGUAACUGCUGGAAACGGUAGCUAAUACCGCAUAACGUCGCAAGACCAAAGAGGGGGACCUUCGGGCCUCUUGCCAUCGGAUGUGCCCAGAUGGGAUUAGCUAGUAGGUGGGGUAACGGCUCACCUAGGCGACGAUCCCUAGCUGGUCUGAGAGGAUGACCAGCCACACUGGAACUGAGACACGGUCCAG